UUCCACUGCAAGAGGCUCAGUUAGUUUGAUACCUGUGUCAGUAUAAAUAGAAGUGAUAUUAUUCUGGCCUGUCUUGAUCCUCCAAUGUGCAUGAAAAUACUUGGUAUUUGAAUCUCCACAUUAAACCCAUGUAGCUUUGGAUUUCUGCCUCAUUACUUGCUCCUCCACAUUGUUCCGUUUUUCAAGUUCUUCUAGUAGACCUCUUUCAUCAUUUAUCAACUCCUGAGAAAGAAAGUUAUUCUGCAUUUGUAACUGUAGACUGUCAAGUUUUUCCCUUGUCUGAAUAAUCUGUUGUUUGUACUUGGCUAAGUGGGCACUUAACCCCUUCAGUUGCUGCUUCACUGCCUUCAAUUUACUCCAAGUCUGUUGCAUUUGUGAGCCAUGGUAAACCUUCUCCCAGACUUGCUUAACUAUGCCAUGAAUCUGCUCAUGUUCCAUUACAUUGUUAUAUAGCCUGAAAGGUUUAGGAUGCAAUGGUUUAU
Molecule: long non-coding RNA, 482 nt
Filed under: Nicotiana benthamiana
Lineage: Eukaryota; Viridiplantae; Streptophyta; Magnoliopsida; Solanales; Solanaceae
Description: long non-coding RNA (NBEN_LNC009838)
Source: RNAcentral